AUUAUACUCCCUCCGUCCUGAAUUACUUGUCGUAGGUAUGGAUGUAUCUAGAUGUAUUUUAGUUUUAGAUACAUCCAUUUCUAUCCAUUUCUGUGAGGAGUAAUUUGGGACGGAGGGAGUACAUA
This is a non-coding RNA of Triticum urartu, 125 nucleotides long. The record is from Rfam. NCBI's taxonomy places the organism in Eukaryota, Viridiplantae, Streptophyta, Magnoliopsida, Poales, Poaceae.